Molecule: non-coding RNA, 112 nt
Organism: Acanthosepion pharaonis
Lineage: Eukaryota; Metazoa; Mollusca; Cephalopoda; Sepiida; Sepiidae
Source: the annotation of a GenBank genome assembly
AUGGCCAUAUAGCGUUGGAACACCGGUUCCCGUAAGAUUACCGAAGUUAAGCAACAUCGAACAUGGUCAGUACUGAGAUAAAUCUCCGCUUGGGAAUACCAACUGCUGUAAG